AAAAAAAAAAAAAAUCAAUACACUUCUCAUUUGGCAUCUUUUUGUUUUAGCAUAUUUUAACACUAAACUAUUCUCUUAUGGUUCCCCAGCUGAAUCUCCAGCUGAUUCACCUGAAGGUUCAAUUGCACCUUAAGAUUCAGGUUCAGAUUCUCCCUCAGUUGCAGGAUCUAAGAGAGUUCCAGGAACAAAUGGUGGGUCAUCUGAUGGAGGCAACAUUAAAUUCCCCUCCCACUUUUUGCUCUCUCUUGUAAUUGUUUCUUGUUUCUCUUCCAUCACCAACCUCUGAUUUUUGAGUCUUGUCUGCAGAGACUUGAGAGACUUGAGUGCUGAGGUUUUUUAAUGAUGUUUUGCCUUUUGUUGUGUCACUUCUUAUCUAUGUAGUUUGUAUAAAUAACGAGUUUUAAUUUUAUAUAUGUUUCCUUUAUUAUUCAGGCUUGAUUAUGCCAUAGAAACCUACUGAUUAAUCUAAAUUUUCUGAGCUAUGAAACAAAACUAUGUAUGAUUCAUUAGUUCAACAGCUAA
This is a non-coding RNA of Arachis ipaensis, 522 nucleotides long. The record is from RefSeq and is a predicted model, not a curated record. NCBI's taxonomy places the organism in Eukaryota, Viridiplantae, Streptophyta, Magnoliopsida, Fabales, Fabaceae.